RNAcentral lists this transfer RNA (70 nucleotides) under Camelus bactrianus (Bactrian camel). It matches the Rfam family "tRNA". Rfam says of the family: Transfer RNA (tRNA) molecules are approximately 80 nucleotides in length. The record is from Rfam by way of RNAcentral. Lineage: Eukaryota; Metazoa; Chordata; Mammalia; Artiodactyla; Camelidae. RNAcentral also lists the same sequence under 2 other names.
GAGGAUAUAGCUCUGGUAGAGCGUGUGCCUAGCAUGCAUGAGGUCCUGGGUUUGAUCCCCAGCACCUCCA